RNAcentral lists this transfer RNA (72 nucleotides) under Camelus bactrianus (Bactrian camel). It matches the Rfam family "tRNA". Rfam says of the family: Transfer RNA (tRNA) molecules are approximately 80 nucleotides in length. RNAcentral also lists the same sequence under 2 other names. Lineage: Eukaryota; Metazoa; Chordata; Mammalia; Artiodactyla; Camelidae. The record is from Rfam by way of RNAcentral.
GAGGGUAUAACUCAGUGGUAGAGUGUAUGCCCAGCAUACAUGAGGUCCUGGGUUCCAUCUCCAGUACCUCCA